This 460-nucleotide ribosomal RNA is filed under the name uncultured bacterium. RNAcentral's name for it is "partial 16S ribosomal RNA". It matches the Rfam family "Bacterial small subunit ribosomal RNA", at positions 338 to 795 of the family's 1533-position model. The record is from RNAcentral.
CCUACGGGAGGCAGCAGUGAGGAAUAUUGGUCAAUGGACGAGAGUCUGAACCAGCCAAGUAGCGUGAAGGAUGACUGCCCUAUGGGUUGUAAACUUCUUUUAUAUGGGAAUAAAAUGUUCCAAGUGUGGGAUUUUGUAUGUACCAUAUGAAUAAGGAUCGGCUAACUCCGUGCCAGCAGCCGCGGUAAUACGGAGGAUCCGAGCGUUAUCCGGAUUUAUUGGGUGUAAAGGGAGCGUAGGUGGAUUGUUAAGUCAGUUGUGAAAGUUUGCGGCUCAACCGUAAAAUUGCAGUUGAAACUGGCAGACUUGAGUACAGUAGAGGUGAGCGGAAUUCGUGGUGUAGCGGUGAAAUGCUUAGAUAUCACGAAGAACUCCGAUUGCGAAGGCAGCUCACUGGACUGCAACUGACACUGAGGCUCGAAAGUGUGGGUAUCAAACAGGAUUAGAUACCCCAGUAGUC